UGGGGAAUAUUGCACAAUGGGCGCAAGCCUGAUGCAGCCAUGCCGCGUGUGUGAAGAAGGCCUUCGGGUUGUAAAGCACUUUCAGCGAGGAGGAAGGUGGUGAGCUUAGUACGCUCAUCAAUUGACGUUACUCGCAGAAGAAGCACCGGCUAACUCCGUGCCAGCAGCCGCGGUAAUACGAGGGUGCAAGCGUAUCGGAAUUACUGGGCGUAAAGCGCACGCAGGCGGUUUGUUAAGUCAGAUGUGAAAUCCCCGGGCUCAACCUGGGAACUGCAUUUGAAACUGGCAAGCUAGAGUCUCGUAGAGGGGGGUAGAAUUCCAGGUGUAGCGGUGAAAUGCGUAGAGAUCUGGAGGAAUACCGGUGGCGAAGGCGGCCCCCCUGGACGAAGACUGACGCUCAGGUGCG
RNAcentral lists this ribosomal RNA (406 nucleotides) under uncultured bacterium. Its description in RNAcentral is "partial 16S ribosomal RNA". It matches the Rfam family "Bacterial small subunit ribosomal RNA", at positions 355 to 755 of the family's 1533-position model. The record is from RNAcentral.